This is a long non-coding RNA of Chenopodium quinoa (quinoa), 1512 nucleotides long. RefSeq lists it as uncharacterized. Lineage: Eukaryota; Viridiplantae; Streptophyta; Magnoliopsida; Caryophyllales; Amaranthaceae. The transcript is spliced from 3 exons. The record is from RefSeq and is a predicted model, not a curated record.
AAAUAAUCCUAAAAUAAUCUCACGACACUCAACAAAUUAAUUUCCUUUUCCCCUACUCGCGUCCCCACUACCUAAAGAGCUUUAUACUUGGUUAUAAUGGAAAGCAAAACAACGACCUCUUGCGUGAAAUUUAUGUACAAACUAGUCCACUUCCGCUUACAAAAGAUUCAUUCGAUCCCAUAACUUAAUUACUUCAUAGUAUUUCCGAAUGAGCCAACCGCGAUCUUCAAAAGAUAUCAAUGAUCUAGGAAACUUGUACAACAUUUACUUAAUCUCUGAAAUGUAAUAAUUUACAAAUAAAGUUGAUCUCAAUCAGUGGCGGACUGGACCUUGUGCCUGGUGGGUCAAAUGACUCACCAGGGCCCAAAAAAAAUUUUAAGUUUUUUUUUUUUUAAAAAAAUAAAAUAAAAUAAAAAUCUAACUUCAGGUCCCGACACUUCCUCAAGCCCUAGCCCACUGCCUCCUCAGCUGCUCUUCCCUCUUCGCCUCUUGACUUCCUCUUCGCUUCAUCUUCACCAGACUGCCUCCACCCAGCCACCCUCCAGUCGCCUGCUCUGCCUCUGCUGCUUGCCUGCUUGAUGCUUUCCUGCUCCGUCUCCGUGGUCACUGCUCUUCGCCUCUUCGCAAUCGCUUCGACGCAAUUGCUAAUUCACUAUUAACGCUUCCUCUUCGCUCAUCGGCUCACGCCUCGUCGCCUCCAGUGCUGGCCCUGCUGCUCCGCCUACUCGCCUCAAUCAGCGUCUGCCGUCUGGCAAGAAUGAAGAGAAAACGCAUUCCAAAUAAAAUGCAAAACAUUACUAGCUUUUUUGCUAAAAAGAAUCCUACUCCAACUUCUCUUCCACAUCCAACACAAAAUGAACAAACUAUAUCUCAACCUCAAGAAAGUGAACAACAUUCAUCUCCAUCUCAUUAUUCAACUUAAAAUUCCCCUCAAAAUGAACAAGGCCAAUGUUCUCCUAAUGCCCCAAUCUUUGAUGAAAGAUUAAGUGAACAUGAAUUUGCUAAUCUUCCACAAGAUCCAGGAAAGAGGAGAAAGAUGAGUGAAUUUCAUAAAGAUGAUAGAGAUUUAGUGAGAAGAAUUUACAUUCAAAGAAAGCCUUGUCAGCUCAAAGACUUUGUAUUUCCUCAAACUUCUAUUUUUGGCAAAAAACCGUCGCUUUUGUGCUAAGUGGUUUGGUACUUGGACUUGGCUUGAGUAUAGUGUGGAAAAGGAUGCUGCCUAUCGGUUGUAUUUUGUAUUGUUUGAAUAUUUGGAUGUAUUUUUUAGUACUAUUAUUUGGUUGUUUGGUAAAAUUUUUUUUUUACAUAUUUGAUUAUCGAUUGUGACUCACCAGUCGGAAAUUCCUGGGUCCGCCACUGAUCUCAAUGCAUUUGAUGUCAUUAUAUCUCAUAUAACUACCACAGUAUCUCAUUAUAUUGCAACAAUUUCAACUAGAUUGUACUCCAUGUAAUAAUAUACAUCAUGUACAAUAAUUGAAAAUUUUGCCGCCCAUAGACGAACUAAAAAUGACA